RNAcentral lists this unclassified non-coding RNA (352 nucleotides) under soil metagenome. Its description in RNAcentral is "partial contains 5.8S ribosomal RNA, internal transcribed spacer 2, and large subunit ribosomal RNA". The stretch from base 1 to 120 matches the Rfam family "5.8S ribosomal RNA", at positions 35 to 154 of the family's 154-position model. The record is from RNAcentral.
GAUGAAGAACGUAGCGAAACGCGAUAGGUAAUGUGAAUUGCAGAAUUCAGUGAAUCAUCGAAUCUUUGAACGCACAUUGCGCCCGCCAGUAUUCUGGCGGGCAUGCCUGUUCGAGCGUCAUUACAACCCUCAGGCCCCCGGGCCUGGCGUUGGGGAUCGGCGGAGCCCCCCGUGGGCACACGCCGUCCCCCAAAUGCAGUGGCGGUCCCGCCGCAGCUUCCAUCGCGUAGUAGCUAACACCUCGCGACUGGAGAGCGGCGCGGCCACGCCGUAAAACACCCAACUCUUCUGAAGUUGACCUCGAAUCAGGUAGGAAUACCCGCUGAACUUAAGCAUAUCAAUAAGCGGAGGA